GUCGAACGGCAGCGCGGGAGCAAUCCUGGCGGCGAGUGGCGAACGGGUGAGUAAUACAUCGGAACGUGCCCAAUCGUGGGGGAUAACGCAGCGAAAGCUGUGCUAAUACCGCAUACGAUCUACGGAUGAAAGCAGGGGAUCGCAAGACCUUGCGCGAAUGGAGCGGCCGAUGGCAGAUUAGGUAGUUGGUGAGGUAAAGGCUCACCAAGCCUUCGAUCUGUAGCUGGUCUGAGAGGACGACCAGCCACACUGGGACUGAGACACGGCCCAGACUCCUACGGGAGGCAGCAGUGGGGAAUUUUGGACAAUGGGCGAAAGCCUGAUCCAGCCAUGCCGCGUGCAGGAUGAAGGCCUUCGGGUUGUAAACUGCUUUUGUACGGAACGAAACGGCCUUUUCUAAU
RNAcentral lists this ribosomal RNA (401 nucleotides) under Variovorax sp. 197901. Its description in RNAcentral is "bacterial SSU rRNA". It matches the Rfam family "Bacterial small subunit ribosomal RNA", at positions 61 to 464 of the family's 1533-position model. Lineage: Bacteria; Pseudomonadati; Pseudomonadota; Betaproteobacteria; Burkholderiales; Comamonadaceae. The record is from RNAcentral.